CGAGGAGCUUGCUCCUCCGAUCAGUGGCGAACGGGUGAGUAACACGUGAGUAACCUGCCCCAGACCCUGGGAUAACAGUUGGAAACAGCUGCUAAUACCGGAUACGAGACGGAGAGGCAUCUCUACCGUCUGGAAAGAUUUAUCGGUCUGGGAUGGACUCGCGGCCUAUCAGCUUGUUGGUGAGGUAAAGGCUCACCAAGGCGACGACGGGUAGCCGGCCUGAGAGGGCGACCGGCCACACUGGGACUGAGACACGGCCCAGAUUCCUACGGGAGGCAGCAGUGGGGAAUAUUGCACAAUGGGCGAAAGCCUGAUGCAGCGACGCCGCGUGAGGGAUGACGGCCUUCGGGUUGUAAACCUCUUUCAGCAGGGAAGAAGCGAAAGUGACGGUACCUGCAGAAGAAGCACCGGCUAACUACGUGCCAGCAGCCGCGGUAAUACGUAGGGUGCGAGCGUUGUCCGGAAUUAUUGGGCGUAAAGAGCUUGUAGGCGGUUUGUCGCGUCUGCAGUGAAAAUCCGGGGCUCAACCCCGGACUUGCUGUGGGUACGGGCAGACUAGAGUGUGGUAGGGGAGACCGGAAUUCCUGGUGUAGCGGUGGAAUGCGCAGAUAUCAGGAGGAACACCGAUGGCGAAGGCAGGUCUCUGGGCCACAACUGACGCUGAGAAGCGAAAGCAUGGGGAGCGAACAGGAUUAGAUACCCUGGUAGUCCAUGCCGUAAACGUUGGGCGCUAGGUGUGGGGCUCAUUCCACGAGCUCCGUGCCGCAGCUAACGCAUUAAGCGCCCCGCCUGGGGAGUACGGCCGCAAGGCUAAAA
This 816-nucleotide ribosomal RNA is filed under the name uncultured bacterium. RNAcentral's name for it is "bacterial SSU rRNA". It matches the Rfam family "Bacterial small subunit ribosomal RNA", at positions 72 to 899 of the family's 1533-position model. The record is from RNAcentral.